This 388-nucleotide ribosomal RNA is filed under the name uncultured Bacillus sp. Its description in RNAcentral is "bacterial SSU rRNA". It matches the Rfam family "Bacterial small subunit ribosomal RNA", at positions 430 to 810 of the family's 1533-position model. The record is from RNAcentral. Lineage: Bacteria; Bacillati; Bacillota; Bacilli; Caryophanales; Bacillaceae.
GCUCUGUUGUUAGGGAAGAACAAGUGCAAGAGUAACUGCUUGCACCUUGACGGUACCUAACCAGAAAGCCACGGCUAACUACGUGCCAGCAGCCGCGGUAAUACGUAGGUGGCAAGCGUUGUCCGGAAUUAUUGGGCGUAAAGGGCUCGCAGGCGGUUUCUUAAGUCUGAUGUGAAAGCCCCCGGCUCAACCGGGGAGGGUCAUUGGAAACUGGGAAACUUGAGUGCAGAAGAGGAGAGUGGAAUUCCACGUGUAGCGGUGAAAUGCGUAGAGAUGUGGAGGAACACCAGUGGCGAAGGCGACUCUCUGGUCUGUAACUGACGCUGAGGAGCGAAAGCGUGGGGAGCGAACAGGAUUAGAUACCCUGGUAGUCCACGCCGUAAACGAU